GUUUUGGACUGCAGACAGUGCACAGCUCUGGUGCAUGGGGACUCGUGCAGUGCUUUAGCAAGUGACAGACAGCUCAGCUCUAUGAUAGAAAUGAUAUAAUGUGAAUAAAUGCCCACGGAUAUUCCAGGGAUAGUGUCCUGGCCCUCUUAGAUACUCACAGGCUGCUCUCAGGUCUCCCCAGAGCCUUCUCUUCUCCGGGCUGCACAGCCCCAGCUCUCAGCCUGUCCCUGUAGGGAAGCUGUUCCAUCCCUUGGAUCAUUUUUGUGGCCCUCCUCUGGACGCACUCCAGUAGAUCAACG
Gallus gallus (chicken) is the source of this 299-nucleotide long non-coding RNA. The record is from Ensembl. NCBI's taxonomy places the organism in Eukaryota, Metazoa, Chordata, Aves, Galliformes, Phasianidae.